UACGUAGGUGGCAAGCGUUGUCCGGAUUUACUGGGCGUAAAGAGCGCGCAGGCGGUCGUUCAAGUCGAGUGUGAAAGCCCCCGGCUCAACUGGGGAGGGUCACUCGAUACUGAUCGACUCGAAGGCAGAAGAGGGAAGCGGAAUUCCCGGUGUAGUGGUGAAACGUGUAGAGAUCGGGAGGAACACCGGUGGCGAAGGCGGGUCUCUGGGCAAUUCCUGACGCUGAGGCGCAAAAGCGUGGGGAGCAAACGGG
RNAcentral lists this ribosomal RNA (253 nucleotides) under uncultured bacterium. RNAcentral describes it as "partial 16S ribosomal RNA". It matches the Rfam family "Bacterial small subunit ribosomal RNA", at positions 524 to 776 of the family's 1533-position model. The record is from RNAcentral.